UACGAGGGGGGCAACUGUUGUUCGGAAUCACUGGGCGUAAAGGGAGCGUAGGCGGGUUUCUAAGUCAGGUGUUUAAUCCCGGGGCCCAACCCCGGACAGGCACUUGAAACUGGGAAUCUUGAAUAGUGGAGAGGUCAGUGGAAUUGGGGGUGUAGCGGUGGAAUGCGUAGAGAUCCCCAAGAACACCAGUUGCGAAGGCGGCUGACUGGACACAUAUUGACGCUGAGGCUCGAAGGCCAGGGGAGCAAACGGG
This 253-nucleotide ribosomal RNA is filed under the name uncultured bacterium. RNAcentral describes it as "partial 16S ribosomal RNA". It matches the Rfam family "Bacterial small subunit ribosomal RNA", at positions 524 to 776 of the family's 1533-position model. The record is from RNAcentral.